AGUUUUAUAGACAUUUCAAGCUGGGGCCUGCAUUUUUUUGUGCAACCCUGGGGUUCAACAAUUUGAAACUGCUUCACACCAAGAGCAGAGAAACUCGCUCUGUGGUUAUCACCUCAGAGAGACACAAUACCCAAAACCUGAGAACAUUCGCCUUGUUUUGUUGGAGUCAACACAUCUGCCAGGUUAUCUGUCUUCAGUCAACAUGGCUCAUAGAAAUCCAUGCUGAAUUAUUUUUUAGGAAGUUCGGUUUUGUUGACGAUGGAGUUAAAUGUUAUUCGUGUUAAAGUGAGUCUUUAAGAAGAUGGCCGGCUGUGUUUCUACAUAGUUUUGACAUCUGUCUUCAUUUCUCAUUUUUCCUCUAAGAUGUUCUGCACAUAUUUGUCAAUUUCUGUGGUCUGACUCAGAGCACAGGAAGUGUGGAGGAGCUUGACCGGAGAAAGAGGCUGAGAACUGCUUCUCUUACCAAGGACCUUCCCCAAGCCAGGCAUCUCCGGAGAUGGUAUGGAGCCUGGGGUAGCUCGGCCAGGCCUUUGAUCACCAGCGAUGCCAUUGCUCUUCCCCGUUUCGCGUCUGCUGUGGCUUGCUGCUGAGGCUGCUUUCAGACCUCUGGAAUCAGAAAAGGAGGUGACUAUAUCAGGUUCAGCAGAGGACACAUCUGGAACCCCUUUCCUGCUGGAGUGGACAGUGGAGGCAGCGCCACAGUGGAUUUUCAUUGGUGUCUCCCCUGGCUGCCUGGUGGCUGCCUGUCAGAGCCAGCGCUUGAGAACGUGGCUGCUAGUGAAAGUGUUUAUGUGUUUAUGUGACCACAGGUAGCAAACAGAUAAGAAACUAUCCGACUGAGGAGCAGCAAGGGUCUGGAGCUACUGCGAUUGGGUGACCUGGGUAGAGACCCUCCUGGAGAUUUCACUCUGACUAGAACUGGAAGGACAAACCCACCGCAGGGACUUCCUGGCCACCAAGUCAUAUUCAACACAUGAGUGAGGCAGACCGGAGUGCU
Molecule: long non-coding RNA, 997 nt
Filed under: Homo sapiens (human)
Lineage: Eukaryota; Metazoa; Chordata; Mammalia; Primates; Hominidae
Description: HSALNT0151466
Source: RNAcentral